GUGUCUCCCAGAGUUCCCUCAACCUCUUCAGUGGGACUUGGGACUCAUUAGUCAUUCUCUGCUGAAGUGUUUGGGGGAACUCCAGGUGCCAC
RNAcentral lists this microRNA precursor (92 nucleotides) under Nelumbo nucifera (sacred lotus). RNAcentral describes it as "mir-395 microRNA precursor family". It matches the Rfam family "mir-395 microRNA precursor family". From Rfam's summary of the family: mir-395 was identified in both Arabidopsis thaliana and Oryza sativa computationally and was later experimentally verified. mir-395 is thought to target mRNAs coding for ATP sulphurylases. The mature sequence is excised from the 3' arm of the hairpin. The record is from Rfam by way of RNAcentral. Lineage: Eukaryota; Viridiplantae; Streptophyta; Magnoliopsida; Proteales; Nelumbonaceae.